AGAUCGAACGCGGGGAUGCUUACCCUGCAUCGAACGGCAGCACGGGUGCUUGCACCUGGUGGCGAGUGGCGAACGGGUGAGUAAUACAUCGGAACGUGUCCUGUAGUGGGGGAUAGCCCGGCGAAAGCGAUUAAUACCGCAUACGAUCUACGGAUGAAAGCGGGGGAUCUUCGGACCUCGCGCUAUAGGGGCGGCCGAUGGCGGAUUAGCUAGUUGGUGAGGUAAAGGCUCACCAAGGCGACGAUCCGUAGCUGGUCUGAGAGGACGACCAGCCACACUGGGACUGAGACACGGCCCAGACUCCUACGGGAGGCAGAGUGGGGAAUUUUGGUCAAUGGGCGAAAGCCUGAUCCAGCAAUGCCGCGUGUGUGAAGAAGGCCUUCGGGUUGUAAAGCACUUUUUCCGGAAAGAAAUCCUUGAUCCUAAUAUGGUCGGGGGAUGACGGUACCGGAAGAAUAAGCACCGGCUAACUACGUGCCAGCAGGCGCGGUAAUACGUAGGGUGCAAGCGUUAAUCGGAAUUACUGGGCGUCGUGCGCCGGUGAUGUAAGACCGUGUGAAAUCCCCGGGCUCAACCUGGGAACUGCAUUGGUGACUGCAUCGCUUGAGUAUGGCAGAGGGGGGUAGAAUUCCACGUGUAGCAGGAAAUGCGUAGAGAUGUGGAGGAAUACCGAUGGCGAAGGCAGCCCCCUGGGUCAAUACUGACGCUCAUGCACGAAAGCGUGGGGAGCAAACAGGAUAGAUACCCUGGUAGUCCACGCCCUAAACGAUGUCAACUGGUUGUCGGGACUUCAUUGACUUGGUAACGUAGCUAACGCGUGAAGUUGACCGCCUGGGGAGUACGGUCGCAAGAUUAAAACUAAGGAAUUGACGGGGACCCGCACAAGCGGUGGAUGAUGUGGAUUAAUUCGAUGCAACGCGAAAACCUUACCUAUUGACAUGUACGGAAUCCUGCUGAGAGGCGGGAGUGCCCGAAAGGGAGCCGUAACACAGGUGCUGCAUGGCUGUCGUCAGCUCGUGUCGUGAGAUGUUGGGUUAAGUCCCGAACGAGCGCAACCCUUGUCCCUAGUUGCUACGCAAGAGCACUCCAGGGAGACUGCCGGUGACAAACCGGAGGAAGGUGGGGAUGACGUCAAGUCCUCAUGGCCCUUAUGGGUAGGGCUUCACUCAUACAAUGGUCGGAACAGAGGGUUGCCAAGCCGCGAGGUGGCCAACCAGAAAACCGAUCGUAGUCCGGAUCUGCAACUCGACGCGUGAAGCUGGAUCGCUAGUAAUCGCGGAUCGCAUGCCGCGGUGAAUACGUUCCCGGGUCUUGUACACACCGCCCGUCACACCAUGGGAGUGGGUUUUGCCAGAAGUGGCUAGUCUACCGCAAGGAGGACGGUCACCACGGCAGGAUUCAUGAUGGCGAAGUCG
RNAcentral lists this ribosomal RNA (1415 nucleotides) under Paraburkholderia tropica. RNAcentral describes it as "bacterial SSU rRNA". It matches the Rfam family "Bacterial small subunit ribosomal RNA". The record is from RNAcentral. Lineage: Bacteria; Pseudomonadati; Pseudomonadota; Betaproteobacteria; Burkholderiales; Burkholderiaceae.